This 500-nucleotide ribosomal RNA is filed under the name uncultured bacterium. RNAcentral describes it as "partial 16S ribosomal RNA". It matches the Rfam family "Bacterial small subunit ribosomal RNA", at positions 30 to 523 of the family's 1533-position model. The record is from RNAcentral.
AUUGAACGCUGGCGGAAUGCUUUACACAUGCAAGUCGAACGGCAGCACGGGGGCAACCCUGGUGGCGAGUGGCGAACGGGUGAGUAAUACAUCGGAACGUGCCCAGUCGUGGGGGAUAACGUAGCGAAAGUUACGCUAAUACCGCAUACGAUCUACGGAUGAAAGCGGGGGACCGUAAGGCAUCGCGCGAUUGGAUCGGCCGAUGUCAGAUUAGGUAGUUGGUGAGGUAAAGGCUCACCAAGCCGACGAUCUGUAGCUGGUCUGAGAGGACGACCAGCCACACUGGGACUGAGACACGGCCCAGACUCCUACGUGAGGCAGCAGUGGGGAAUUUUGGACAAUGGGCGCAAGCCUGAUCCAGCCAUUCCGCGUGCAGGACGAAGGCCUUCGGGUUGUAAACUGCUUUUGUACGGAACGAAAAGGCUCUGGUUAAUACCUGGGGCUCAUGACGGUACCGUAAGAAUAAGCACCGGCUAACUACGUGCCAGCCGCCGCAGUAA